This 374-nucleotide ribosomal RNA is filed under the name uncultured organism. RNAcentral describes it as "partial 16S ribosomal RNA". It matches the Rfam family "Bacterial small subunit ribosomal RNA", at positions 527 to 896 of the family's 1533-position model. The record is from RNAcentral.
GUAGGUGGCAAGCGUUGUCCGGAAUUAUUGGGCGUAAAGCGCGCGCAGGCGGUCCUUUAAGUCUGAUGUGAAAGCCCACGGCCCAACCGUGGAGGGUCAUUGGAAACUGGGGGACUUGAGUACAGAAGAGGAAAGCGGAAUUCCAAGUGUAGCGGUGAAAUGCGUAGAGAUUUGGAGGAACACCAGUGGCGAAGGCGGCUUUCUGGUCUGUAACUGACGCUGAGGCGCGAAAGCGUGGGGAGCAAACAGGAUUAGAUACCCUGGUAGUCCACGCCGUAAACGAUGAGUGCUAAGUGUUAGGGGGUUUCCCGCCCCCUUAGUGCUGCGGCUAACGCAUUAAGCACUCCGCCUGGGGGAGUACGGCCGCAAGGCUG